CUUAACCCGGAAGCCUGCCGCACCAAUGUGUCAGAGGAAACACCGUCCAACUGGCGACCGUGUCAGCGUGCAUGCACCCAGCCCGCCACAGGAGUCGCUAGAGUGCGAUGGGCCAGAUCUAUAGUGACGCCUCUAGUACUGCGACGCAGUUUCUUAGACCGCUGCGCUACUCGGGAAGCCCUCUUGUCUCAAAAUUGACUACAAAGUGUAAAUAGGAUAGUUUUGGUCAUGAAGUCAGUCUCGUCCAAAACAGAGUUUGUAAGUGAGUUCGUCACGACUUACUGGAGGGUUGCGUAUGGGCUACUUACAGUUGAAGUUGGAAGUUUACAUACACCUUAGCCAAAUACUUUUAAACUCAGUUUUUCACAAUUCCUGACAUUUAAUCUGAGUAAAAAUCCCCUGUCUUAGGUCAGUUAGGAUCACCACUUUAUUUUAAGAAUGUGAAAUGUCUGAAUAAUAGUAGAGAGAAUGAUUUAUUUCAGAUUUGAUUUCUUUCAUCACAUUCCCAGUGGGCCAGAAGUUUACACACACUCAAUUAGUAUUUGCCUUUAAAUUGUUUAACUUUGGUAAAAUGUUUUGGGUAGCCUUAAACAAGCUUCCCACAAUAAGUUAGGUGAAAUUUGACACAUUCCUCCUGACAGCUGGUGUAACCAAGUCCGGUUUGUAGGCAUCCUCGCUCGCACACGCUUUUUCAGUUCUUCCCACAGAUUUUCUAUGGGAUUGAGGUCAGGACUUUGUGAUGGCCACUCCGAUACCUUGACUUUGUUGUCCUUAAGCCAUUUUGGCACAACUUUGGAAGAAUGCUUGGGGUCAUUGUCCAUUUGGAAGACCCAUUUGCAACCAAGCUUUAACUUCCUGACUGAUGUCUUGAGAUGUUGCUUCAACAUAUCCACAUAAUUUCCCCCCCUCAUCAUGCCAUCUAUUUUGUGAAGUGCACCAGUCCCUCCUGCAGCAAAGCACCCCCACAACAUGAUGCUGCCACCCCGUGCUUCAUGGUUGGGAUGGUGUUCUUCGGCUUGCAAGCAUCCCCCUUUUCCCUCUAAACAUGAUGAUGGUCAUUAUGACCAAACAGUUCUAUUUUUGUUUCAUCAGACCAGAGGACAUUUCUCCAAAAAGUAUAAUCUUUGUCCCCAUGUGCAGUUGCAAACCGUAGUCUGGCUUUUUUUAAUGCCGGUUUUGGAGCAGUGGCUUUUUCCUUGCUGAGCGGCCUUUCAGGCUAUGUCGAUGUAGGACUCGUUUUACUGUGGAUAUAGAUACUUUUGUACCUGUUUUCUCCAGCAUCUUCACAAGGUCCUUUGCUGUUGUUCUGGGAUUGAUUUGCAUUUUUCACACCAAAGUACGUUCAUCUCGAGGAGACAGAAUGUGUCUCCUUCCUGAGCGGUAUGAAGGCUGCGUGGUCCCAUGGUGUUUAUACUUGCGUACUAUUGUUUGUACAGAUGAACGUGGUACCUUCAGUCGUUUGGAAAUUGCUCCCAAGAAUGAACCAGACUUGUGGAGGUCUACAAUUUCUUGUCUGAGGUCUUGGCUGAUUUCGUUUGAUUUUCCCAUGAUGUCAAGCAAAGAGGCACUGAGUUUGAAUGUAGGCCUUGAAAUACAUCGACAGGUACACCUCCAAUUGACUCAAAUGAUGUCAAUUAGCCUCUCAGAAGCUUCUAAAGCCAUGACAUAAUUUUCUGGAAUUUUUCAAGCUGUUUAAAGGCACGGUCAAUUUAGUGUAUGUAAACAUCUGACCCACUGGAAUUGUGAUUAAGUGAAAUAAUCUAGUCUGUAAACAAUUGCUGGAAAAAUUAGUUGUGUCAUGCACACGGUAGAUUGCCAAAACUAUAGUUUGUUAACAAGAAAUCUGUGGAGUGGUUGAAAAACGAGUUUUAAUAACUCCAACCUAAGUGAAUGUCAACUUCCGACUUCAACUGUACAUGCCCACUUUUGCGAUGAUGCCCAAAUUGCCCAGAAACAACACAUUGUGGUCUUUCCUCAGCUGCCAUGUGGACAUUUGUUGUCAAGUUUGCAUAUGGGUGACACACACGCACAUUUCACUCGGCAAAUUGGAGGGACAAUUUGCUUCCAUAAAGUUGAACAAGACUUCCAAUGCAUUUCAACAAUAUUGCCAAAUGGCCAAGAAUGGAUUUCCUCCGACACGGUCACUUCUGCCGCAUGUCAACCGUGAAAUCGCUGGUGUUGGCUACGUACAAAACCUACCAUAUCAGGAGCUGUUACAGAAGGCUGAGGCAGUGGCCAGACACCAGUCCUGCUUCAGAGUAAUGGAGGACACUUGAAUAAGCUGGGUCAGAUAUAGGAGCCUAUGUCAGGCUCCUUUAUGACCAGUAUCUGUGACAAGAGGGACCUGGAGCCGAUCUACGCUGCCACGGACAUCAGAUGGAGGACAGAAGAGAUGCUUUUGAAAUGAGUCCUCAGGUUGAUAUUGAUGUCUGAACUGGGACAGAUCUUGCACUCAAGCAUUCAAAUUAUACAAGACAUCUACUACUUGUUGUGGUCUUUUGUUAUUAUUGAAUCGGACUGUACUAUCCAUGGGGGGGGACACACACACCAUACCAAAAGGUAUAAUAUUUGCACAUUGUUAUAUUAGCAGGUCACUGCUUCCACAGUGUUAUGUGAGGUAGGGUUUAUUCUACAUGGAAGUGUUGCACUUGAAAGUUAUCUACGUAAGUGGCUCUGGAUAAGAGCGUCUGCUAAAUUACUAAAAUAUCAAAUGUAAUAAGUUCAGUAGUUGCACUCUUCUAAUAUUACUGAUUAGGCUACUAACCUUCUGGAGGAAGCUUUGAAUAGCCUACAGAGUGGUAUGAGAAGUGCGCCAUCCUCCACAUCAGCCAGUAGUUAUUGAACUCUGUCUGCUGGACCCAUGGGUUGAAGUGAACUCUGUCAUAUCCAGGAUGGAGUGUCAUGCACUCCACUUCUCCUGUCCCCUGACAGCACCUGUCCAAAACUUCUAAAACAUGACAUAGAUGGAAGGGACUUCAUCACCCACUGGAGACUUGAAGACAGAACCUCACCCAGAGAGCUGUACAUCUCAGAUUUGGCCAAAUAGAAUGCCAUUCUAGUUCUGGUUAGACAGCUGAAGUUGUACAAUGCAUACAACAUAUUUGUAUUUGCUAGGCAAGUGCAGGUAUACUGUCUUAAUCAGCACAUCAUUAUGAUAUUUACAGCAUAAAAUGUUUUGUCUUUGUAACACGAAAACACAUUUUGUUGUUGUUGAUAAAUGCAUCUACACUCAA
Salvelinus fontinalis (brook trout) is the source of this 3233-nucleotide long non-coding RNA. RefSeq lists it as uncharacterized. Lineage: Eukaryota; Metazoa; Chordata; Actinopteri; Salmoniformes; Salmonidae. The transcript has 4 exons. The record is from RefSeq and is a predicted model, not a curated record.